GAAAAAUCAAUGUGUUCUGUUAUUGAAGACUUCAAUUGUGAAUAGGUUGGGCAUCAUAGAUGCCCCAAAUAUUUGCAAAUAACUUAACACGAACCUCAUGUCCAAGGCACCUGACCUCCACAAAUCUUUACUGAUAGUGGUAGUAUACAAAUACUCAAGAAUCAAGAUACAGGAGAAGCCAAAUUCACCAAUAAUCACCACAAGAACAGGCUCCAUUCUUGAAGUGGUGAAACCUAUGCAUAUCACGCACUAUGAUUUCCCGUCCAGUAACAAGUGUAAUGUACUUUGUUGCAUUAUGGCAAUCGCCACAAACUCUUAGAUUCUUCCUAAUAUGUAUGGUUGUUCCUGGGAUUGUAUUCAGAAGUCCAUAGGCAAUAGCCAAUUUCUCACUAUGGGUGUUCAGCAACUGCUCCUUAACAUCAUCUUCCACAUCAUGGAUUGAAUUGGUAUCAGGUACAUAACCAGCAGCUUUGAUCUUGUCAACUAGCGUCUCAAGAAAAGCAUAGAUCCUUUUGGAUUGGGGAUGGCCCGUACUGCCAGAAUAGAAACUGUGAAUCUCAUUUCUUAAUUCCACCAAACUGCAGCCAGGAGUUUUCUGAAGCCCUUUCUUCCGCAUCAUAGUUCUCACUUCAGCUAGUUUGUCCCACAUUGAAGCUGUGGCAUAUAUGUUAGCAAGCAAUACAUGGUACCCACCCUCAUCUGGGUUCAACUCAAAGAGUUUAUUUGCUGCCUUCUCCCCCAACUCAACAUUCUUGUGAAUUUUGCAAGCACCUAGCAUUGCACCAUAAACAGUAAUCCCCGGCUCAAUAGGCAUCUUCUGAAUAAAAUACCAAGCUUCAUUAAGCCGGCCAGCUCGACCAAGAAGGUCAACCAUGGCUCCGUAGUGAUCCAUUGAGGGCUCUAGUCCAUAAUCGUUCUCCAUGCUAGCAAAGUAUGUAAGCCCUUCUUCCACCAUACCUGAGUGGCUGCAAGCAGAGAGAACACAUAGAUAAGUAAUAUCAUUUGGCUUGAUAGGCCCCCUUUGCAUUUCCAUAAAAAGUUCUAUAGCUGCUUUUCCAAGUCCAUGUGUCCCGUACGCAUCUAUCAUAGCAUUCCAAGUAAUCACAUGCCUUUCGCUCAUCAUAUCAAAAAGCUUUCUUGCAGUGUGAAUGGCUCCACAUUUUGCAUACAUGUCAACAAGAGCAGUCAUCACAAAAACAUUUUUGUCUAAAAGCCUCCGUAUAACAAGUCCAUGAAUCCACUUUGCUUGACGCGGAAUUGAUAACUCUGCAAGAGCAGGAAUAACACUCACCAAUGUGAAUGAAUCUGGCUUUAUAUUUCGAGAUUGCAUCUCACAAAAGGAAUUUAAGGCCUCGUUUAAUAGCCCAUUUUGGGCAUAACCUAAUAUCAUGGCAUUCCAUGAUACAACAGUUUUAUUUUGCAGGUUUUCAAAUAGAUUGGCAGCAAUAUCAACCCUCUUACAUUUAGAAUACAUUGAAAUCAAAGAGUUCAUCACAGAAACAUUAGAAUUGAGUUUCAACUCAUCAACUAGUUUAUGAACAAACUUUCCCUGCUCAAGAUUUCCCAAAUCAGAACAGGCAUGUAAAACUUCCAUAAGAGUAACAUCAGUUGGUUGAACUCCUUCAUGCAUCAUCUUCUGAAAUAGCACCAUUGCUUCCUCAGGCUCUCCACUUUGUACACACCCAUCAAUCAUUGAAUUCCAUGUAACAACAGUCCUACUACUCAUCCCAUCAAAAAUUACUCUAGCAGUUCCCACUGAUUCACAUUUUGAAUACAUGUCCACAAGAGCAGUUGAAACAUUCACAAGCGACUCAAACCCAGCUCUGAUAACAUACCCAUGAAUUGCCUUGCCAAUUCUCAAAGACCUCAUGUCUGCAACUGCAGGCAAAAUUGAGACAAUCGUGAUCCAGUCUGGCCUAUGCCCUUCCUCAAAUAUCCUCGGAACCAGCUCUAAUGCCACCUUCGCUAAUCCAUUUUGCGCAAACCCAGAAAUAAUUGUAUUCCAACAAACCAAAUCCCUCUCAGGCAUUCUAUCAAACAUCUUAUAUGCAUCAUCCAUUUGUCUGCAUUUCGCGUACAUAUUCACAACCCCAGUCAUAGCAAACAGAUUCCACGAGAACCCACUAGUUAUCAAUUGACCAUGAAUCUCCUUACCGCUCCUAAUAUCAAAAUUAUCACCACAGAGUUUCAACAAGUAAGUGAAAUUAUAUACAACAGGUCUAACGCUAUCAUGCCUCAUUCGACAAAAAAAUGACAAGGCAGCAUCUAAAGAUGAGUUCUUGGCGUAACCUUUGAGCAUAGUAUGAUAAAGGGCUUCUAAUUUAUCCUCAAUAGGUUCAAAAACACGAGCAGCUUCAGUUAAGCUACCGUAGUUGCAGAAGAGACUAACAAGCUUAGUUUGGAAGAGCUCUUCAUUGUAAAGUCCGUUCUUUAUGACAAGAGGGAGGAUUUGGUGGAGUUCUUUAAUGGAAGUGCAGAGCUCCAAGAGUAUGGCAGAUGGGUGCUUGUAAACGUGAGCUGGGAUGUGCGUUCUUUGGGAGAAACUGCGGAAAGUAGAAGGGAGUUGUUUGGAGUGAGAUGGAGAUGGUGGUAGCUGUGUUGAAGCGAAAGGCAAGAGCUGCAAGCUCAUCUUUUUCCCCGUUUCUCACUCAGUUGUACGGCUCCACUCUCUGUGGCACAGCAAGUCCCGUCUCUCUUCUUCUAAGAAUCUAAAGCUGCCUCUGGUCUCCUCCGACUGCGGUUUGCUCUCAGUUUCUCCAUCGUUUCUCUCUGUGCAAAUCCCAAUCCAACCCACAAUCCAUCGACCCAAUGGUGCCACCACCCAACCACCAAGCUACCCAGCAAUUCCUCUCCUCAGUCCUCUCU
This 2865-nucleotide unclassified non-coding RNA is filed under the name Hevea brasiliensis (rubber tree). Lineage: Eukaryota; Viridiplantae; Streptophyta; Magnoliopsida; Malpighiales; Euphorbiaceae. The record is from RNAcentral.